AGCGGCGGAUGGGUGAGUAACACGUGGGGAACCUGCCCCUAAGUCUGGGAUACCAUUUGGAAACAGGUGCUAAUACCGGAUAAUAAAGCAGAUCGCAUGAUCAGCUUUUGAAAGGCGGCGUAAGCUGUCGCUAAGGGAUGGCCCCGCGGUGCAUUAGCUAGUUGGUAAGGUAACGGCUUACCAAGGCGACGAUGCAUAGCCGAGUUGAGAGACUGAUCGGCCACAUUGGGACUGAGACACGGCCCAAACUCCUACGGGAGGCAGCAGUAGGGAAUCUUCCACAAUGGACGCAAGUCUGAUGGAGCAACGCCGCGUGAGUGAAGAAGGUUUUCGGAUCGUAAAGCUCUGUUGUUGGUGAAGAAGGAUAGAGGUAGUAACUGGCCUUUAUUUGAAGGUAAUCAACCAGAAAGUCACGGCUAACUACGUGCCAGCAGCCGCGGUAAUACGUAGGUGGCAAGCGUUGUCCGGAUUUAUUGGGCGUAAAGCGAGCGCAGGCGGAAAAAUAAGUCUAAUGUGAAAGCCCUCGGCUUAACCGAGGAACUGCAUCGGAAACUGUUUUUCUUGAGUGCAGAAGAGGAGAGUGGAACUCCAUGUGUAGCGGUGGAAUGCGUAGAUAUAUGGAUGAACACCAGUGGCGAAAGGCGGCUCUCUGGUCUGCAACUGACGCUGAGGCUCGAAAGCAUGGGUAGCGAACAGGAUUAGAUACCCUGGUAGUCCAUGCCGUAAACGAUGAGUGCUAAGUGU
This 744-nucleotide ribosomal RNA is filed under the name uncultured bacterium. RNAcentral's name for it is "bacterial SSU rRNA". It matches the Rfam family "Bacterial small subunit ribosomal RNA", at positions 94 to 823 of the family's 1533-position model. The record is from RNAcentral.